UGCGCAGGCGGGGCAAUAAGUCAGUGGUGAAGUCCUGCGGCUUAACCGUAGAACUGCCAUUGAUACUGUUGCCCUUGAGUAUAGUUGAGGUGGGCGGAAUAUGUAAUGUAGCGGUGAAAUGCAUAGAUAUUACAUAGAACACCAAUUGCGAAGGCAGCUCACUAAGCUAUCACUGACGCUGAGGCACGAAAGCGUGGGGAGCGAACAGGAUUAGAUACCCUGGUAGUCC
This 229-nucleotide ribosomal RNA is filed under the name uncultured bacterium. RNAcentral's name for it is "partial 16S ribosomal RNA". It matches the Rfam family "Bacterial small subunit ribosomal RNA", at positions 568 to 796 of the family's 1533-position model. The record is from RNAcentral.